This 140-nucleotide ribosomal RNA is filed under the name uncultured eukaryote. RNAcentral's name for it is "partial 18S ribosomal RNA". It matches the Rfam family "Eukaryotic small subunit ribosomal RNA", at positions 214 to 352 of the family's 1831-position model. The record is from RNAcentral.
AUAAAAAACCAAUGCGGAGCAAUCCGGUUUUUGGUGAAUCAUAAUAACUUAACGGAUCGCAUGGCCUUGUGCCGGCGAUAGUUCAUUCAAAUUUCUGCCCUAUCAACUUUCGAUGGUACGGUAUUGGCCUACCAUGGUUA